GCAGCCAACAGGACAAAUAAAGAUUAAAAGGGAGGACUAUGAAUCUCUUCCAAAAGAGGUUGCCAGUGCUAAACCCAAAGUAUUGCUAGACGUGAAACUGAAGGCUGAAGAUUUUAUAGUGGAUGUUUCACAACUUCUGCCAGAGAAAUUUGCAGAGCAGCUGAUUCGAGUAUAUUGUAAGAAGGUGGACAGAAAGAGUUUGUAUGCCGCAAGACAACAUUUUGUUCAGUGGUGUGCAGACAGAAAUUUCACCAAGCCGCAGGUAGGUGGCCUGUUACUCACAAACUUUGCACAAUUUUUUAAGUAAAAACCAAAAGUAAGUCUAUCUGCUGAAAAGUUCCCAUUUAAGUUAUAGUCAUUUGGUUAUGGUUUUGAAAAUAAGGUCUUUCACUUUCUUUCCUUUUAAAAUGUCUGAAUCUGUGUCAGCCAGUGAUUUCUUCCUACAGGAGUUGGGAAUGGAUACUGUUUAGCAUUAUUGUCCUAAUAAUAAAAAUGUGAACAUGUAAAUAA
RNAcentral lists this small RNA (510 nucleotides) under Pan troglodytes (chimpanzee). Its description in RNAcentral is "retained intron". The record is from RNAcentral. Lineage: Eukaryota; Metazoa; Chordata; Mammalia; Primates; Hominidae.